CCCACGUGGUGCAAGGCGGGCUCGGCGGCCGAGCGGGGGACGCCCAAUGAGAGCAGGGUGCGGAGCUUCCUCCGCCGCUCUCCCAUCAUCCUUUGCAGCGCGAGGGCGGGACUUCCUCUGGCCUGGAUCCAGGCAGCAGCUGCUUCCUUCAGGGCGGGGCCGGAAGCGUCGCUCCCUGAUGACGUCAUCAAUGUGCGCAGCUCCGCCCCC
This 210-nucleotide long non-coding RNA is filed under the name Gallus gallus (chicken). The record is from RNAcentral. Lineage: Eukaryota; Metazoa; Chordata; Aves; Galliformes; Phasianidae.